RNAcentral lists this non-coding RNA (20 nucleotides) under Rattus norvegicus (Norway rat). Lineage: Eukaryota; Metazoa; Chordata; Mammalia; Rodentia; Muridae. The record is from RNAcentral.
ACCUGGGAAGCCUCUGUGAU